This 1378-nucleotide ribosomal RNA is filed under the name Salmonella enterica subsp. enterica serovar Kentucky. RNAcentral's name for it is "partial 23S ribosomal RNA". It matches the Rfam family "Bacterial large subunit ribosomal RNA", at positions 1589 to 2925 of the family's 2925-position model. Lineage: Bacteria; Pseudomonadati; Pseudomonadota; Gammaproteobacteria; Enterobacterales; Enterobacteriaceae. The record is from RNAcentral.
AGCAACAAAUGCCCUGCUUCCAGGAAAAGCCUCUAAGCAUCAGGUAACAUCAAAUCGUACCCCAAACCGACACAGGUGGUCAGGUAGAGAAUACCAAGGCGCUUGAGAGAACUCGGGUGAAGGAACUAGGCAAAAUGGUGCCGUAACUUCGGGAGAAGGCACGCUGACACGUAGGUGAAGUGAUUUACUCAUGGAGCUGAAGUCAGUCGAAGAUACCAGCUGGCUGCAACUGUUUAUUAAAAACACAGCACUGUGCAAACACGAAAGUGGACGUAUACGGUGUGACGCCUGCCCGGUGCCGGAAGGUUAAUUGAUGGGGUCAGCGCAAGCGAAGCUCCUGAUCGAAGCCCCGGUAAACGGCGGCCGUAACUAUAACGGUCCUAAGGUAGCGAAAUUCCUUGUCGGGUAAGUUCCGACCUGCACGAAUGGCGUAAUGAUGGCCAGGCUGUCUCCACCCGAGACUCAGUGAAAUUGAACUCGCUGUGAAGAUGCAGUGUACCCGCGGCAAGACGGAAAGACCCCGUGAACCUUUACUAUAGCUUGACACUGAACAUUGAGCCUUGAUGUGUAGGAUAGGUGGGAGGCUUUGAAGUGUGGACGCCAGUCUGCAUGGAGCCGACCUUGAAAUACCACCCUUUAAUGUUUGAUGUUCUAACGUGGACCCGUAAUCCGGGUUGCGGACAGUGUCUGGUGGGUAGUUUGACUGGGGCGGUCUCCUCCUAAAGAGUAACGGAGGAGCACGAAGGUUGGCUAAUCCUGGUCGGACAUCAGGAGGUUAGUGCAAUGGCAUAAGCCAGCUUGACUGCGAGCGUGACGGCGCGAGCAGGUGCGAAAGCAGGUCAUAGUGAUCCGGUGGUUCUGAAUGGAAGGGCCAUCGCUCAACGGAUAAAAGGUACUCCGGGGAUAACAGGCUGAUACCGCCCAAGAGUUCAUAUCGACGGCGGUGUUUGGCACCUCGAUGUCGGCUCAUCACAUCCUGGGGCUGAAGUAGGUCCCAAGGGUAUGGCUGUUCGCCAUUUAAAGUGGUACGCGAGCUGGGUUUAGAACGUCGUGAGACAGUUCGGUCCCUAUCUGCCGUGGGCGCUGGAGAACUGAGGGGGGCUGCUCCUAGUACGAGAGGACCGGAGUGGACGCAUCACUGGUGUUCGGGUUGUCAUGCCAAUGGCACUGCCCGGUAGCUAAAUGCGGAAGAGAUAAGUGCUGAAAGCAUCUAAGCACGAAACUUGCCCCGAGAUGAGUUCUCCCUGAGACUUAGAGUCUCCUGAAGGAACGUUGAAGACGACGACGUUGAUAGGCCGGGUGUGUAAGCGCAGCGAUGCGUUGAGCUAACCGGUACUAAUGAACCGUGAGGCUUAACCUUACAACGCCGAAGGUGUUU